This 411-nucleotide ribosomal RNA is filed under the name Perionyx sp. PK-2012. RNAcentral describes it as "partial 12S ribosomal RNA". The stretch from base 43 to 411 matches the Rfam family "Bacterial small subunit ribosomal RNA", at positions 875 to 1412 of the family's 1533-position model. The record is from RNAcentral. Lineage: Eukaryota; Metazoa; Annelida; Clitellata; Crassiclitellata; Megascolecidae.
GGGGAUAGAUACCCGUCUAUUCAUGACAUAAACAAAACAGUCGAAUAUUACGAACCACAGUUUAAAAUUCAAAGAUUUUGGCGGUGUCUUAUAAAACCAGGGGAACCUGUCUCAUAACUCGAUAAUCCACGAUUACCCAACCCCCUUUUGAUAAACAGCUUGUGUACUGCCGUUGUAAGCACACCUUUAAAAGAAUUAGUGUGCUACUAUAACUAUAUAAAUACAUAGCUUAUACACAUCAGGUCAAAGUGCAGCUUAUGAGGGGGUGAUGAUGGGUUACAACCAUAAUAAAGAAUACGAAUUAGAAUAUAAAAACUUCUAUAAAGGUGGACUUGGAUGUAAUUAAAUAUAUUAAAACCAAAUGAAUUUUAAUCUAAGACAUGCACACAUCGCCCUCACUUUUCCACGGUA